GGGUCUGUAGCUCAGCUGGUUAGAGCACGCGUCUUAUAAGCGUGAGGUCGGAGGUUCAAGUCCUCCCAGGCCCACC
This 76-nucleotide transfer RNA is filed under the name Rickettsiales bacterium. RNAcentral's name for it is "tRNA-Ile". It matches the Rfam family "tRNA". From Rfam's summary of the family: Transfer RNA (tRNA) molecules are approximately 80 nucleotides in length. Their secondary structure includes four short double-helical elements and three loops (D, anti-codon, and T loops). The record is from RNAcentral. Lineage: Bacteria; Pseudomonadati; Pseudomonadota; Alphaproteobacteria; Rickettsiales.